This 465-nucleotide ribosomal RNA is filed under the name uncultured bacterium. Its description in RNAcentral is "partial 16S ribosomal RNA". It matches the Rfam family "Bacterial small subunit ribosomal RNA", at positions 28 to 507 of the family's 1533-position model. The record is from RNAcentral.
GACGAACGCUGGCGGCGUGCUUAACACAUGCAAGUCGAACGGAAAGGCCCCCUUGUGGGGUACUCGAGUGGCGAACGGGUGAGUAACACGUGAGUAACCUACCCUUGACUUUUUGAUAACUUCAUGAAACUGGGGCUAAUACCGUAUAGGAGCUCCUGCUGCAUGGUGGGGGUUGGAAAGUUUCGGCGGUUGGGGAUGGACUCGCGGCUUAUCAGCUUGUUGGUGGGGUAGUGGCUCACCAAGGCGUUGACGGGUAGUCGGCCUGAGAGGGUGACCGGCCACAUUGGGCCUGAGAUAGGGACCAGAGUCCUACGGGAGGCAGCAGUGGGGAAUAUUGCACAAUGGGCGGAAGCCUGAUGCAGCAGCGCCGCGUGCGGGAUGACGGCCUUCGGGUUGUAAACCGCUUUCGCCUGUGACGAAGCGUGAGUGACGGUAAUGGGUAAAGAAGCACCGGCUAACUACGUG